UCAAUAAGCGGAGGAAAAGAAACCAACAGGGAUUGCCUCAGUAACGGCGAGUGAAGCGGCAAAAGCUCAAAUUUGAAAUCUGGCUCUUUUAGGGUCCGAGUUGUAAUUUGUAGAAGAUGCUUCGGGCGUGGUUCCGGUCUAAGUUCCUUGGAACAGGACGUCAUAGAGGGUGAGAAUCCCGUAUGUGACUGGAUACCUAUGCUCAUGUGAAGCUCUUUCGACGAGUCGAGUUGUUUGGGAAUGCAGCUCAAAAUGGGUGGUAUAUUUCAUCUAAAGCUAAAUAUUGGCCAGAGACCGAUAGCGCACAAGUAGAGUGAUCGAAAGAUGAAAAGCACUUUGGAAAGAGAGUUAAACAGUACGUGAAAUUGUUGAAAGGGAAGCGCUUGCAAUCAGACUUGCACUCAAUGUUCAUCAGGGAUUCUGCCCUGUGUACUUCAUUGAGUUCAGGCCAGCAUCGGUUUGGGUGGUUAGAUAAAGACCUUGAGAAUGUGGCCUUCUUCGGGGGGUGUUAUAGCUCUAGGUGCAAUGUACCUACCUGGACCGAGG
RNAcentral lists this ribosomal RNA (546 nucleotides) under [Sclerotium] denigrans. RNAcentral describes it as "eukaryotic LSU rRNA". It matches the Rfam family "Eukaryotic large subunit ribosomal RNA", at positions 43 to 593 of the family's 3401-position model. The record is from RNAcentral. Lineage: Eukaryota; Fungi; Ascomycota; Leotiomycetes; Helotiales; Sclerotiniaceae.